GACCUGCGGAGGGAUCAUUACCGAGUUUACAACUCCCAAACCCCUGUGAACAUACCUAUACGUUGCCUCGGCGGAUCAGCCCGCGCCCUGUAAAACGGGACGGCCCGCCCGAGGACCCUAAACUCUGUUUUUAGUGGAACUUCUGAGUAAAACAAACAAAUAAAUCAAAACUUUCAACAACGGAUCUCUUGGUUCUGGCAUCGAUGAAGAACGCAGCAAAAUGCGAUAAGUAAUGUGAAUUGCAGAAUUCAGUGAAUCAUCGAAUCUUUGAACGCACAUUGCGCCCGCCAGUAUUCUGGCGGGCAUGCCUGUUCGAGCGUCAUUUCAACCCUCAAGCUCAGCUUGGUGUUGGGACUCGCGGUAACCCGCGUUCCCCAAAUCGAUUGGCGGUCACGUCGAGCUUCCAUAGCGUAGUAAUCAUACACCUCGUUACUGGUAAUCGUCGCGGCCACGCCGUAAAACCCCAACUUCUGAAUGUUGACCUCGGAUCAGGUAGGAAUACCCGCUGAACUUAAGCAUAUCAAUA
Molecule: ribosomal RNA, 526 nt
Filed under: Fusarium sp. 048M
Lineage: Eukaryota; Fungi; Ascomycota; Sordariomycetes; Hypocreales; Nectriaceae
Description: eukaryotic LSU rRNA
Rfam family: 5.8S ribosomal RNA (bases 169-322)
Source: RNAcentral